Aquila chrysaetos chrysaetos is the source of this 196-nucleotide long non-coding RNA. RefSeq lists it as uncharacterized. NCBI's taxonomy places the organism in Eukaryota, Metazoa, Chordata, Aves, Accipitriformes, Accipitridae. The record is from RefSeq and is a predicted model, not a curated record. The transcript is spliced from 2 exons.
GCGCGGGUCGGGGGCCGGGGGCGGCGCUGGCUCAUUCCGCAGCUCGGGCAGCCCCUGCGAGGAGCCGGCGGGCAGGCGGGGAGCGCGAGUCCCGUGUUUGUAGCGUUGCUAAGCCGAGAGCUUUAAAUAUUUCAGCGAGCCAUCCGGAGACCUCUGUUUGUUAAUUGCUAGAGUAGACUUUAAGGAAAGAUUGGGG